UAAAGAAUUUCGGUUAUCGAUGGGGAUGCGUUCCAUUAGUUAGUUGGCGGGGUAACGGCCCACCAAGACGACGAUGGAUAGGGGUUCUGAGAGGAAGGUCCCCCACAUUGGAACUGAGACACGGUCCAAACUCCUACGGGAGGCAGCAGUGAGGAAUAUUGGUCAAUGGACGAGAGUCUGAACCAGCCAAGUAGCGCGAAGGAUGACUGCCCUAUGGGUUGUAAACUUCUUUUAUAUGGGAAUAAAACAGGGUAUGCAUACCCUCUUGUAUGUACCAUAUGAAUAAGGAUCGGCUAACUCCGUGCCAGCAGCCGCGGUAAUACGGAGGAUCCGAGCGUUAUCCGGAUUUAUUGGGUUUAAAGGGAGCGUAGGUGGAUUGUUAAGUCAGUUGUGAAAGUUUGCGGCUCAACCGUAAAAUUGCAGUUGAAACUGGCAGUCUUGAGUACAGUAGAGGUGGGCGGAAUUCGUGGUGUAGCGGUGAAAUGCUUAGAUAUCACGAAGAACUCCGAUUGCGAAGGCAGCUCACUGGACUGCAACUGACACUGAUGCUCGAAAGUGUGGGUAUCAAACAGGAUUAGAUACCCUGGUAGUCCACACAGUAAACGAUGAAUACUCGCUGUUUGCGAUA
Molecule: ribosomal RNA, 628 nt
Filed under: uncultured bacterium
Lineage: Bacteria
Description: bacterial SSU rRNA
Rfam family: Bacterial small subunit ribosomal RNA
Source: RNAcentral